Molecule: ribosomal RNA, 440 nt
Filed under: uncultured bacterium
Lineage: Bacteria
Description: partial 16S ribosomal RNA
Rfam family: Bacterial small subunit ribosomal RNA
Source: RNAcentral
CCUACGGGUGGCAGCAGUGGGGGAUAUUGCACAAUGGGGGGAACCCUGAUGCAGCGACGCCGCGUGGGUGAAGAAGCGCCUCGGCGCGUAAAGCUCUGUCAGCAGGGAAGAAAAUUACGGUUACCGAAGAAGUAGCCCCGGCCUACUACGUGCCAGCAGCCGCGGUAAUCCGUAGGGGGCAAGCGUUAGCCGGAUUUACUGGGUGGAAAGGGGGUGCAGGCGGGGAUGCAAGCCAGGAGUGAAAGCCGGGGGCCGAACCCCGGGACUGCCCUUGGAACUGCGGGGCUGGAGUGAUGGAGGGGCAGGCGGAAGUCCUGGUGGAGCGGUGAAAGGCGUAGAUAUCAGGAGGAACACCGGUGGCGAAGGCGGCCUGCUGGACUGCAACUGACGUUGAGGCCCGAAAGCGUGGGGAGCAAACAGGAUUAGAUACCCCAGUAGUC